UACGGAGGGGGCUAGCGUUGUUCGGAAUUACUGGGCGUAAAGCGCACGUAGGCGGCUAUUUAAGUCAGAGGUGAAAGCCUGGAGCUCAACUCCAGAACUGCCUUUGAGACUGGAUAGCUAGAAUCUUGGAGAGGCGGGUGGAAUUCCGAGUGUAGAGGUGAGAUUCGUAGAUAUUCGGAAGAACACCAGUGGCGAAGGCGGCCCGCUGGACAAGUAUUGACGCUGAGGUGCGAAAGCGUGGGGAGCAAACAGG
Molecule: ribosomal RNA, 253 nt
Filed under: uncultured bacterium
Lineage: Bacteria
Description: partial 16S ribosomal RNA
Rfam family: Bacterial small subunit ribosomal RNA
Source: RNAcentral